CUACACGGUACAAUUAAGAAAUCGAAGAUUUCUUAGGUUAACCAACCGAAGAGGCUCCGUAGAGCAGCUCAACAGUAAUGAUCUCCUCUAAUCAUGCACAGCUGGCAAGUGCUUUGGCAUUCACCACCACCCCCGCCCCCCCCCCCCACGGAUGAAACCCUGGAAUCUGCUCUCAGACAAGUGAGAAAUCUGUACAGAGAAAGCUUCUAGCUCAGGUCUUUGAACUAGGAAAACAGGAUGGUUUGACUCUAGAUCUCCACUAUUAAAAAGUUGCCUCGUGUGCACAACCAGCUACACCCAGGAGUGAAAGAUGGUUUUCUACACCAGUGUAAAGAAGUGCACAUUUGGUCAGCAGUGUGCAUCCUCAUGGGUCUUCUCCUUGUCCACAUAGCCACUCCUCCCCCCCAUAUUUAAGACCACUCUUUGGGGGAGGGGACACCUUAGGGAAAGGUGCUUUAGAGGACAUUCAGGCAGAAAACGCUGUCAGCCACACAGGUGGUGAGGAAAAGUAGUCUGGUUGGAGAGAGUGGUCCAGGUUUGAAACUAUCAGAUGUAAGGGCAAAACAAAGGUUUUGAGUGUGCAAACAUGUAGGACAUUUACUGCAUAGGUACUUACACACACACAUACAUACACACACACAUCUUAUUCACUGCAUAGGUACUUACACACAUACACACACACACACACACACACAUCUUAUUCUAGAUAAUUCAGCAAAACAAAAGAGGAUUCAAGAAUAUAUUCCCAAUUUCUAAUAAUGGCAGGCAAAAUUCAGAAGACUAAAGUGCUAGAUAAAGACAUUCUUUUUCUUUAAAGAUUUUUUGAAAGCAGCAAGACAAACACAAAGCCAAAAUGAAAGUAAAAUGAAAAACCANAAUAAUGGCAGGCAAAAUUCAGAAGACUAAAGUGCUAGAUAAAGACAUUCUUUUCCUUUAAAGAUUUUUGAAAGCAGCAAGACAAACACAAAGACAAAGUGAAAGUAAAAUGAAAAACCGAAGAGAUACGAGAGGCAUGGAGUUUGCUUUGUCCCCAAGCGUGUCGACAAUUCUGGCCAACUUGAACUUUUUUAGUGGUCUCCAAGGGCAAGAGAAAGAAUCAACACCAAGGGCUUGCACAGUUAGAGAAAAACAGAAGCCGCUCCCCACAAUGAGGAUCCUAAUGGCUUACACCCCUAGGAUAUCAAAAAAUGGCCAGUGCAUCUCUUCGGUUUUAAUACCUGGAAGACGCAAGCAGUUUGUCAUUUGGUCCUGUGUGAAAGCUAGAGCCUUCUCCUUUGUAAUGCCAUCUGAUCUACAGGGACGGAGCCAUCUCCUCAUCCGUCAGGACCUCACUAACCCACUACAUUGGCAAACCAUGUGCAUGGAUCCCUGAAAUAAGCAGUAAGUACCUUCUACAUUUUAGUAAGGCCAAUAUGGUAAGUUUUAAC
This 1427-nucleotide long non-coding RNA is filed under the name Vulpes vulpes (red fox). Its description in RNAcentral is "lncRNA (ENSVVUG00000016348.1)". The record is from RNAcentral. Lineage: Eukaryota; Metazoa; Chordata; Mammalia; Carnivora; Canidae.